UACGGAGGAUGCGAGCGUUAUCCGGAUUUAUUGGGUUUAAAGGGUGCGUAGGCGGUCUGUUAAGUCAGCGGUAAAAUUGCGGGGCUCAACCCCGUCGAGCCGUUGAAACUGGCAGACUUGAGUUGGCGAGAAGUACGCGGAAUGCGCGGUGUAGCGGUGAAAUGCAUAGAUAUCGCGCAGAACUCUGAUUGCGAAGGCAGCGUACCGGCGCCAGACUGACGCUGAGGCACGAAAGCGUGGGGAUCGAACAGG
RNAcentral lists this ribosomal RNA (252 nucleotides) under uncultured bacterium. RNAcentral's name for it is "partial 16S ribosomal RNA". It matches the Rfam family "Bacterial small subunit ribosomal RNA", at positions 524 to 776 of the family's 1533-position model. The record is from RNAcentral.